Molecule: RNA transcript, 1825 nt
Organism: Corythoichthys intestinalis (scribbled pipefish)
Lineage: Eukaryota; Metazoa; Chordata; Actinopteri; Syngnathiformes; Syngnathidae
Gene: ogfod3
Gene name: urotensin-2 receptor 2
Exons: 10
Source: RefSeq, a predicted model, not a curated record
AAUUUGGGUGCAAGUGGCGCGUGUACUAAUGGUGAUUAGCAGAGAAGGCAAAGUUAAAAUCUGUGCAUGACUGCAAUUUAGAAAGCUACGCGGCAGGUUGGAAUUUUAAUGGCGCCAGUACGACAAAGAAAUGCGAAAGGCUUGAAUUCUACUGAGAUAGGGAAGAAAAUCAAAAGAGGUAAUGCACUGCGUCAAGGCACAACUUGGUGGAGUACGAGAGGGUUAACCACGUUGUUGCUGGUUACCCUUUGUUUGUGCGGGGCAGCUACUUGGCUGUAUGUCACUUUGGAUAGUGACAUAACAGAAACAUUGGUCAGCCAGCGUGAGCAUUUGUCUCCCAAACCCAGAGUCUACAUCAUCCAGUGCUCAGAAGACUAUGAAAACUACAAACGCUACCCAGGAUGCACCCCUCAGAAGUGCGGUCGUGCCAUCACAGACGGUGUGGUGACGAGGGAAGAAGCUCAGUUUCUCAGAAGGCUGGCUGAGAGGGGACUUCAGCUGGCCGGAUCGGAGGGAGGAGCCUCCAUCUUGGACCUGCACUCAGGAGCUUUGUCAAUGGGGCCUCAAUUUGUCAACAUUUACAGAUAUUUUGGCGAACAGAUCCAGGAUGUGUUCACAGAAGAGGAUUUCCAGCUUUACAGAGAUGUACGCAAGCGGAUCCAGACAGUUAUUGCAGAGACGUUUGGCUUAGACCAAACGAUGAUGUACCUCACCAAGCCCACCUUCUUCUCCAGGAUCAACUCGACACUAGCCAAGACACAACAUGACGAGUACUGGCACCCGCACAUUGAUAAGGUCACCUAUGGCUCAUUUGACUAUACAUCUCUUCUGUAUCUUUCUGACUAUGACACUGACUUUACUGGUGGACGAUUUAUCUUUAUGGACCAAGAUGGCAAUAAAACAGUAGAACCAAAGGCAGGAAGAGUGUCUUUUUUUUCCUCCGGCUCCGAGAACCUCCACCGUGUGGAGAAGGUGACUUGGGGGACCCGAUACGCCAUCACGGUGUCCUUCACGUGUGACCCCACGCAAGCCAUCGCAGACCCCGCUCUGCCUUGAGGCGGCCACCGGAGACGGAGCGGACGUCAAGGUCCGCCGGCUCAGUCGGCGCCUGCGGAACUCAAGUGGUAGUGGAGAAAAGGGAAACACGAUUACCAAUUUCUUGUUCUUCACACCGAUCCCGUCAACAUCAGGUGAUCAAUAGCAAGUGCGAGAAAAUUGGCAGGAUCAAGCAGCGAUGCUGAUAAGAUGUGAGGGGUUUCAUCGGUCUCCUGUGUUCAAGUCAAUUGACUGUUGCUUAUUACUUGGAGAUUUAGACAGUUUAUGUUCCGCGCAAGGAUUUUACUGCCUUAAAUCUAAUUACUGGUGCAACAAUUUUGUAGUGAUAAGAGCGUCGAUGAAUGUUUGGAAAUCUGCGAGACAUACAGUCAGUGGCGCACUUGGGGCCUAAGGCGAACAUAUCCAGGGGCCCUCUUCAUGGGUCAGGGGUUAAAAAGGUGAGAAGGGUGUGGAGGAAAUAUGUUCCGGUACACUAGGGCUGUCCUAAACGACAGAUUUUCUCCUGAUUAGUCAGCCGACUAGUUUUACGAUUAGUCGACUAAUCUAAUAAUUUUCUUUUUUUUUUUUACUGAUUUAGCAAUGAAAUUUUUGUUGUCGCUUAUUAAUUCACAAAACCAUUUUGGAACGCUUAAAUUCUUUAUUAAAGUACAAAUAAUCAUGUAAAUAACAAUAAUUAAUCACAAAUAAACAAUGAGGUUAAAUGCUGAUAGCAUUUACUAGUGCAAAAAAAUGGAAAGUAAUAAGAUUCAGAACACUGACUUUGCCUUUC